GCAUCCGUAGCUCAACUGGACAGAGCGUCGGCCUCCGGAGCCGAAGGUUUUGGGUUCAAGUCCCAACGGAUGCA
This 74-nucleotide transfer RNA is filed under the name Methylacidiphilum infernorum V4. RNAcentral describes it as "tRNA-Arg (CCG) (tRNA-Arg-CCG-1-1)". It matches the Rfam family "tRNA". Rfam says of the family: Transfer RNA (tRNA) molecules are approximately 80 nucleotides in length. Their secondary structure includes four short double-helical elements and three loops (D, anti-codon, and T loops). Lineage: Bacteria; Pseudomonadati; Verrucomicrobiota; Methylacidiphilae; Methylacidiphilales; Methylacidiphilaceae. RNAcentral also lists the same sequence under 1 other name. The record is from RNAcentral.